CCUACGGGGGGCAGCAGUGGGGAAUAUUGCACAAUGGGGGAAACCCUGAUGCAGCAACGCCGCGUGAGUGAAGAAGUAUUUCGGUAUGUAAAGCUCUAUCAGCAGGGAAGAAGAUGACGGUACCUGAAUAAGAAGCCCCGGCUAACUCCGUGCCAGCAGCCGCGGUAAUACGUAGGGGGCAAGCGUUAUCCGGAUUUACUGGGUGUAAAGGGAGCGCAGACGGCAGUGCAAGUCUGGAGUGAAAGCCCGGGGCCCAACCCCGGAACUGCUCUGGAAACUGUGCGGCUAGAGUACUGGAGGGGCAGGCGGAAUUCAGAGUGAAGCGGUGACAGUCGUAGAUAUAAGGAGGAACACGAGUGGCGAAGGCGGCCUGCUGGACAGUAACUGACUUUGAGGCUCGAGAGCGUGGGGAGAAAACAGGAUUAGAUACCCGUGUAGUC
RNAcentral lists this ribosomal RNA (440 nucleotides) under uncultured bacterium. Its description in RNAcentral is "partial 16S ribosomal RNA". It matches the Rfam family "Bacterial small subunit ribosomal RNA", at positions 338 to 795 of the family's 1533-position model. The record is from RNAcentral.